Molecule: RNA transcript, 1035 nt
Organism: Ipomoea nil (Japanese morning glory)
Lineage: Eukaryota; Viridiplantae; Streptophyta; Magnoliopsida; Solanales; Convolvulaceae
Exons: 4
Source: RefSeq, a predicted model, not a curated record
UUCCCUCUACAAAUUUUCAGUGAGAACACUUAGCGGGCAAAAUUUCCCCGUCAAACAAAAUUUCCGCCGGCCAUUCUCCUCAGACAUUCCCUCUUUGCAAACCCAGUGCUCUCCACCGACCGCCAUUCUCCAUUCUCCUCAGACAUUCCCUCUUUGUAAACCCAGUGCUCCCCACCGACCACCAUUCUUCUCAGACACCGCCAUCUCCGCAGUCAAAGUGGUCGCUGCCCAGUGCUCUCCGCCGACCGUGGUCUCGCCGCGUCCAACACCGCAUCGCCUCGGACAGUGCCGUUGCCUCGGACAGUGACGUCGCCUAAAGUCUUGUAGAAGAAUGGCCCCUGGGCCUUCUAAAGCUGGAAAUAAAUCGGGGAAGGUUGUGACUCCUUUGAAAGGAAAUUCUGGGAGAAACCUUGAGAUACUUAAGCCCAAACAGCCUCCUAAGGUUGCUAUGAAGGACAUGGUUGUGGAGGCUGGUGAGCAACUAAAUACCAAACAGAGUGGAAAACAUGCUGGUUCUGACUGCCUGGAAACUGUUCGACAGAAUGCCGAGGUGAAGGUUCAAAAAUUGGGAACAAAGCCUUGUCUUAAUGAGGAAGAAUACCUCCGGAGGGCGUCAUAUAUAGUUUUGGAACGCUUUUGCUUGACCUUCUCAGUGGCAAACACAUCCCUCCAAGCCAUGUUCUGUCUCAUGUAUUAAUGGGUAUAUACCAGUGAAUGGUGAAUUUAUGUUUUUAUCUCCUCUUGGUGAAGCUUGCUUGAGAUCGGACUUGACUGCCAUAUAUGAAAUCUUAGAAAAACUUGGGUACAAAGAUGACGAAGGAGCAGCUACCGAGCUUUACUACACACUUCCUCCUAUGGUCCAAUGUUGGUGGCAGUAUGCAGUUAAUAGUUUGGAGAGAUGCAAAGGUAUCAUGCUAUAGAGUUUAUUAUCUCUCUUAGCUCUAGACUUCACAUUUAGAAUGGACCGAUAUUCUAUCAAGUUAUAUAGAGUAGGUAUGAUUUGAUCAUUAGAACGUUGUGAUCAUUUAGACUUGG